AUAAAGCACAGCACAAGUAGAGCAACAAAAAGGGCGGGAAACACUGAGGGAAGGAGAACAACAGAAAGCCUUGGAAUCUUAUUAUGAAGCAUGCAGCGAGCGCAGCCAUCCUGAAGGCUUCGUGCAACAGAUAUUCAGAGGGCAGUGGACACCUUUUGAAGUCAGAGCUUUGGCAUGCGCUCCACGCUCCUGAAGGAGUUGGAUUACUCAACUGAGCUGAAAUGGAGCACCACGACCUCAGUUCCUCGUUGUCCCGUGAUGAGCAGGACAGGUGGCAGAGGACAGGAGGUAUAAACCUCAGUAUCUUUGGACUAUGCCCAGUGCUCCUUGCAAUGAGCUGAUCUGUGGAAUAUCUGGAUUUUGCUUGGCGCUGGCUGUGAGCGAACGAACAUCCUUGAUUCAU
Molecule: long non-coding RNA, 403 nt
Filed under: Gallus gallus (chicken)
Lineage: Eukaryota; Metazoa; Chordata; Aves; Galliformes; Phasianidae
Description: lncRNA (ENSGALG00010030077.1)
Source: RNAcentral